Canis lupus familiaris (dog) is the source of this 4050-nucleotide long non-coding RNA. RefSeq lists it as uncharacterized. NCBI's taxonomy places the organism in Eukaryota, Metazoa, Chordata, Mammalia, Carnivora, Canidae. The transcript is spliced from 6 exons. The record is from RefSeq and is a predicted model, not a curated record.
AGUGAAUGGAUCAUGACAUGAUAUCUUGUUGAGCUAGUACCGUAGCUGAGAAAAGUAAGUGAAUUAAUAGUGUACUCAUAUAAUCAGAGUUAAAAAUUUUUAUCUUUCUCUUGGAUGUGUAGUUUUAAUAAGAAUUGUACGUCGGAGAUGAAUUAUUCAAUGUUUUUCCAGGUUUAUGAAGAAAUUAUGAAAUCAAGAUAGCAAGUGUUAGCAAAUUAUAGUUGAAAGCAAGAGGAGAAUAUUGGAAUUCUCAAAAUAAUUAUCGUACCUCAGCAAGGGGAUUUUUUUUUAAUCCAUCUUUCAGGCCACUAUUGGUCUAAAAGUACCAAUCGCUUCCAGUAGAGGGGAGUAGAGGGUCAACUCAUUUGAAAAUCCAAUUGAAAAACAAAAAAACCUCCAGUGUCUUAGGGCAAACUUUCAGAACAGCCCUCCUUUGUAUAGUUACCGUAUCUAAUUCUUGCUUAAUUUCUUGACUGAUGCUGCCAGUAGACUUAUUGUAUAAUCUGCUAUAAUGCUUUAACCCACUGAAACAUGGCCAUCAAGGAUCAUUCUAGAACAGUAAAGAGUAGUAAACGUAAGGAUGGUGCAUCCAGCUUCAUGUACACAACUCUGUGAACACUGCUUCAGUCAGCCUUCUUGAGCUUUUCAUUAUUUCAACACAGUCUACAUUCAUCUAAGUCAUUAUGUGCCCCAAUUCAAAAACCACAUUUAACUCACAACGUAGAUAUCUGUAUAACUAUGAGUGACUUCAAAGCCACAUAAAUAAUAGUGUUUUAUCCAUUGCAAGUUUCUACCAUGGAAUAUUGCCAACAGCAGAUAUUAAUUUAUUUACCUAAAAAAUAUGCUCUGCCAAAAAUGAGGCAGAAAAUGAUAUCGUCGUAGAAUAAUACCUAGCCUGUCAGAAAAACUGUCCUAUUUAUAAUACUUACUUCUCUGAUGUUUGUGAUAGCUUUGACUUCUUAAUGCAUUUCUAACACAGAACGAUGUUGGUGAAGUGUAAUUUUGAAUGUAAUAGUCAAUAGGAAAUCAGCUAUUUGAAAUAACUCGUGUAUGCCCGUCUAUAUGGUGUCUUGACUCACUGAGGAAAGGAUCAUAGCUUUGGUAUAAAUCAUGUCCACUCCUGAAUUCUGUUGUGCCCGGGCGUGCCUGCCAAACUAUGGGAUGGCUUACUGAACUAAGUCUGUUGCUAUGGGGGUUGAGGAGCCUCCUGGAAAGGUCAGGGAAAGAAGAGUGAUCCAGUAAGGAAUGGUGUGUAACUCUGAAUAAGGACUGACUUUUUGGUUGAAGAAAAUAAACUACAUGCAGAUCCAAAUGAGUGGGCUUUUACACAGAAAGCACAAACUUAGAAAGUACAAGGCAAACUCCAGCAAAAGACUCCCAAGUGACUCAGCAAGAGCCAUAGUAGCAGCCCAGUCCCGAUGCUCCCAGCUAUCCAGGAAAAUGGCCUUCAGGUUCUCUAAUCAGGGGCUAGUUCCUACUCAACUUGAAUAGCCAGGCAUUCACAGGCUGGGCCACCCUGCCACAGAUAACCUGCCAGCCCUUGAAAUAUGUAGAAAUAAAAGUCAUUUUGGUAUUGCAAGCAAAACACUCAAAUUGAAAUUGCUAAUUUAAAAUCAGGUUGCCCCAUCCAGCUAUAUCUUUAAGGAUUGCUGACUCAACUACUUUGUGGGGCCACCCACUGGGGUGGAGGCCAGCGUUGCCGGUGGUGAAGGAAUUCACCCAAAGCAGAACAAAGGAAAUAGAAAUUUAUUGAAAACACUGCAGGGGAGCAGCAGGCAGGGCAGCAAAGGAGAGACUGUCUACCAGACGCGGUGGUGGGGGGCUGUAGAUGAGGGGGGACGUGAGGAGGUAUGGGAACGUAUAGAAUUUUCCUUCCUUGCUACCUGUGCCCAGGUGUAAGCCGCCCAUUGGUCAGCUAGGGCUUUAUUGCUAUUUUGAGGUGGGUCCCCUGAUGAGGCUGAUGGUCACCGUGGUGGGCCUCUUUACCUUACUCAGGUUUCCAUGGCUCAAGCCUAUUGCCUAAAUAUGGCCUCUACAUAAUUUAGGUGACAGUUUGGUGACACCGAAAAAAAAAAAAAAACUUUGUUAAGAAGUUCCAAUGAGACUUUUUUUCCCCCCAGGGACUCCAUCCAGUCCAAAGAGAAAGGCAAUUUUCAUAACAUCUCUGAGUGCAUUCUUGGGAUCGUCUUUAAGUCCAGAGGAAGGAUACCCAGAUACUAUUGUGGGAGUGUGGAGCAGAGGAAGAUUGAAGGAGCUGUUUCUCUAAAUUCGGAGACUUUAGUGCACUGUCAGCUUGGCCUGUGUAGUUUUUUUGACAGAAUGUGACCUCAAAGGAGACAGAGAUGAUCGGCCUCCUUUCCAAGAGAACACUUUGAAACAUAGGUAUCCCCUCUAUGAGAGGAGGGGGAGCACCCAGUGAGCCACCAGUUGGCUGAAAGAUGCCUUGGGGGUAGAACAAAGAGAGGCAGUAGCAGUCAGGGAGGCUGGAUUUGUUACUGAGUGUAGGUGAGCCACCUGCUGGAAAUGCCCAGAAAUACUGGUAGGGUAGUAGGGACUUCGUUGAGAGACUGGGAGUCCUAUCCUACCUUAGCACUUGAGGCUACGCCUUCACCCCAGCCAUACUUUUCCUAUAAACUGGGAAGAUAGGUUUCAGCUGGGUGUUACACGAAUAUAAUUACGGUGUUUAGCCUCAAUGAAGGUGAAUUAAAAAUAGGAGCUCUUCAGCUUCCUCUUGACAUCUUUGGCAAAAACCAUUUGGAUCAUACUCAUUUGAAUUUAGAGGUUGCAAUACAGAAGUGUUUCCUCGGGGGAUGUUUAUUGACUGCCUGUUAUAUUUUCAGCCCUUGCUGGGUGCCAUAGAAGAUGCAAGAGAAAUAUGACCAUCCCUGUGUAUGGCCAAGUCGGGGAGAUAAUACAGGCACAGAUAACUUAGAAACAAAAUAAUAGUGGGAAUUCGAUAUUUGGUUGAUACUCAUAACUAGUACUUGCAAUUAGUCCAAACUGGCAGACUUGAGGUGAAUAAUUCCCCUAGGCUAACUUGAAAUGAAAAAAACCAAGGGCAGAUAUGCAGCUCUCAUUCAAUCCUUCUUCUAUUUUCUCUGCAUGGACUUUAUGCUUAACUGUCACUUUGCUUAAUCACCAUACAAGUGAAGACGUGCUGGGGUUACAAUAUUUAUGGCGAAUAUUGACUCAACUUCACAGAACCCUGAGACAGACCCUCUGAAAAAUCAGAGCUAACCUGCUAGAAGAUGGAAGAGAACCAAAGAGUCCUACACAGUGGCCUGCUGACCAUCAGAUGACAGAAAUAUGGCAAAGGCACUCGAAUUAACUCUAUUUUAUAGAUGAAGGAAUGGAGGCACAGAUUGCUGGUAGCCUACUCCGGGGCACGUGGAGUGAAUAGGUGCCUUUUUUUCUACCUAUUGGUCCAAAGGUAGAAUACGGCCUCUUGUCCUGGAUUCCCCUGGUGUAUCUCCAUCGCAAAAUGCUGUACUGCAUCACUCAUAUUCCCCAGUUAGGAUUGAGAGGCUUAGUUUCCCAGCUGCUGGGUAUGUUGGUGCUGACAACUCUCAAGUGUUUGUCCUUUCCAAAAAUUUAAUUCAGCUGAAGCUAGCCACCUCCCUGAAGUUCAAGACCUCUUCCUGGGAAUGGCCUGCCUCAAAUGACUGAUCAAUGCAGAGCGAAUAGAACUUCUGAAAGCUCUGCUUCUCUUCUCAGACUAUCAUCUGAUACUUUCUUCUCAGUUCAUGCUGCUAUGUGAGACAAAUGCUCCACAGGAAAAAGCGUAGACCUACUGGGCUCACGUCAAUGAUGUUGUCUUCUCCAUGAUAUCUUGGUCUUCAAGUCUCUCCUCUUAGAUAGUUCUGCAACAUUUUCAAAAGAAAUCUUAAAGCUUUCAAUUCCACUUCGCUUGUUUUCUUUUCAACAACCUGCUUGUAUUCAUUUUUAAUGUUUAGGCAAUUUCUUUCAAGUUUUGUUCUGAUGUACCAAGGUAUAUUCUUAAGGCAGAAUUCCUUUUUAAAGAGUUUUUGAAUAGAACUCUUGUACAUGUAU